Molecule: ribosomal RNA, 862 nt
Filed under: Chrysoporthe austroafricana
Lineage: Eukaryota; Fungi; Ascomycota; Sordariomycetes; Diaporthales; Cryphonectriaceae
Description: LSU rRNA
Rfam family: Eukaryotic large subunit ribosomal RNA
Source: RNAcentral
UAAGCGGAGGAAAAGAAACCAACAGGGAUUGCCCUAGUAACGGCGAGUGAAGCGGCAAUAGCUCAAAUUUGAAAUCUGGCCUCGGCCCGAGUUGUAAUUUGCAGAGGAUGUUUCUGGCGCGGUGCCUUCCGAGUUCCCUGGAACGGGACGCCACAGAGGGUGAGAGCCCCGUAUGGUUGGACACUAAGCCUGUGUGAAACUCCUUCGACGAGUCGAGUAGUUUGGGAAUGCUGCUCAAAAUGGGAGGUAAAUCUCUUCUAAAGCUAAAUACCGGCCAGAGACCGAUAGCGCACAAGUAGAGUGAUCGAAAGAUGAAAAGCACCUUGAAAAGGGGGUUAAACAGUACGUGAAAUUGUUGAAAGGGAAGCGCUUGUGACCAGACUUGCGCCGGGCGGCUCAUCCGGGGUUCUCCCCGGUGCACUCCGCCCGGCUCAGGCCAGCAUCGGUUCUCGUUGGGGGAUAAGAACGGCAGGAACGUGGCCCUCCUUCGGGUGGGUGUUAUAGCCUGCCGUACGAUACCCUGACGGGGACCGAGGUUCGCGCUCCGCAAGGAUGCUGGCGUAAUGGUCAUCAGCGACCCGUCUUGAAACACGGACCAAGGAGUCGUCCAUUAGAGCGAGCGUUUGGGUGUCAAACCCGCACGCGUAAUGAAAGUGAAAUUAGGUGAGAGCUUCGGCGCAUCAUCGACCGAUCCUGAUGUUCUCGGAUGGAUUUGAGUAAGAGUUUUAACGGACGGACCCGAAAGACAGUGAACUAUGCUUGUAUAGGGUGAAGCCAGAGGAAACUCUGGUGGAGGCUCGCAGCGGUUCUGACGUGCAAAUCGAUCGUCAAAUAUGAGCAUGGGGGCGAAAGACUAAUCGAA